RNAcentral lists this long non-coding RNA (1250 nucleotides) under Sus scrofa (pig). RNAcentral describes it as "lncRNA (ENSSSCG00055020533.1)". The record is from RNAcentral. Lineage: Eukaryota; Metazoa; Chordata; Mammalia; Artiodactyla; Suidae.
UGACAAUUCAGGCUCAUUCCUGAGAUACAAGUUGCUAUUUUUGAAAAGUUCUCUUGCCUGGUAUCUCGCCCCAGGGGCCCUUGGCCUGCUUCAUCUGGUAUCUCAAUUGGCAGAACACAACGCAGCCCUCUGGAUUGGAUUAUAUGUGUCUAAUCUGCAAGCUGGGCUGUUCACAAACCUCCCCUGCCUCCCUCCAACCGCACCCCACCCCCUUGCUCAAAACAGUGCCCAGUGGCUGAUGGUUGGCCCCGUGGCAGGGAGGUCUGCAGAAAGAGGAGCCCACAGGGCAAGCCUGGCUGGUUUUCCAGCCUCUUGCAAUGCAAAUUCGCUGAGAGCAGGACCUGACCCCAUUCCUUCACUUCUGCAGUGAUGCUCUCCUCCGCCAGCACCGGGUGCGGGGUCCUCAGCAGGCAGCAGAAGGGUCCCUCCUCCCCGCCUUUGUGGUUUACAUUCCCACGGUGGAUUAGAUCUGAUUCCAACAAGCUCAUGCUUAGGAGCAUGAAGAGGAAGUGCCAACCCUCACCGUUUCACCAAGAAAACCAGAGAUUCCUUGUUUUCUGAAUAAAACACGGGUAUGUCUCAGAUACUCAAGUGCCGUUUUUUGUUUGUUUUCCUAGAACAGUAAGAACUAAGAAUAACAUGAAAAGAGACAAGCUUGUUUUGUUUGUUCCUGGGCCAUGUUCCCAGGACAGCCUGCCAGGUGUGUCAUUUGGAGACAAUAUUUACCAGGGGGAAUUUAGGUCUAUGAGUCUGAGAUGACACUGCCCAAGGUCAAGGGUCCCUGGACCCCAGGCCUUACCCCCUCCUGUUUUCCCUGCACCCCACGACCACAAAGCAUCAGCCCCAGAGACACAGGCAGAGGCGGGAAGUCCAGCUCAGAGAUUGCAGUUCAGGGCAGAGAAGGCACAAACCACAAGUUCAUCUUGUGACCACCAGGCAGAAAGAGGUGACCUGGAGUUUCUACCCACUUCCUCCAAUUUCCAAGCCUCUGUUUCAAAUAGACUGGGAAGUUCUGGGGGUUUGGGGAGGACCAGACUUUGAGCUGAAAUGGUUACAAAUGAGAGGACAUGAAUCUCUGUGUAGCUGAGGGUGGUGGGUGUGCCCAUUGCCACGUGGGGGCCAAGCUGAGCCCCAACAGGAUGCUCGCAUAUCAUCUACACCUUGACCUGUGCUCCCAUUUGUGACUCGGCCAGUGGACAGUAUGUCACUGAUGGCCUAGUGGGCAAGCCAGGCCGGGUGCCACGGGGGAG